This 264-nucleotide ribosomal RNA is filed under the name uncultured prokaryote. RNAcentral describes it as "partial 16S ribosomal RNA". It matches the Rfam family "Bacterial small subunit ribosomal RNA", at positions 524 to 788 of the family's 1533-position model. The record is from RNAcentral.
UACGUAGGGGCGAGCGUUGUCCGGAAUGAUUGGGCGUAAAGGGCGCGCAGGCGGCCUGUCAAGUCAGUAGUGGAAGUCCAUUUUUCAAGGAUGGAAAUGCUAUAGAAACUGAUGGGCUUGAGUGCAGGAGAGGUUAUCGGAAUUCCCGGUGUGGCGGUGAAAUGCGUAGAGAUCGGGAGGAACACCAGUGGCGAAGGCGGGUAACUGGACUGCAACUGACGCUGAGGCGCGAAAGUGUGGGGAGCAAACAGGAUUAGAUACCCU